CGUUGGAUUUCCGUCACCUGGCUCUUCAACGCCUAUGAUGCUGCCCGAAAUAUAAGCGGGCAGAUCUCAUCGCCUUUAAGAGGAACGCCCUCUCCUUCUCAUUUCUUCGCUCAAACCCUAAUAUCUCUACACCGUCUUAAAAUUGGUGUCUAGUUUAAUUCCUUUGAUUCUUUUUUCUCCAAAUUUAUAAUUUAAAUAGCCCCAAGUUGCCGCAGAUCGUUCGGCGACGGGUUUUUCGCGGCGGAGAGUAGAUUCCGGCUUUUCGAUACAUGAUUUUUGGGGGAAAUUGCUGCCGGAGGCUCGACGGAGCUGAGCGCUGCCGACGGUGUGAUUCAUGGCGUCCGCCGUUUUAGCGAGCCAGAAUGAGUCGAGCUGGGCCCACAUGGGAAAGACGCAGUACGCGAAUCCCCACCUCAAUUCAAACCCUCAUCCUAACCCUAAGAAGAAGCAGAAGCAAUUCCACCCGUCUGCGGCGAACGGUGUCGCCAGUCGUUACCGCAGCAGCAACAACGUCGAUUCGCCGGCCGUCACGCAGACGGCUUCCGAUGAUGCCUAUUCUUUCAACCAGACGCCCGCCGCGCGUAACUCUGGUAACUUUGGUGGCCUUUUGACUUUCAAUGUUUCGACGUACACCAAAUCCGAGCUCCUGGAUCUCCGAAAACGCCUCUCUGCCGAGCUCGGUCAGAUCCGUGAUUUGCGAGAUCGGAUUGAGUCUGGUCGAUUCAACAUUGUCGAAACCCCUAGAUCUCAACCGAAAUCAAAGAAAUUUAGUGGCAGCAAACGGCCUGGCCCUGCGAUUGGAUCCGCCCCCAAGAAAUUGAGCGAUGGAUAUGACAAUAGCAGUUUGGAGGCGGGUAAUUUUGGGGAUUUGUUGAAAGAAUGCGAGAAGAUUGUUGGUAAAUUGAUCAAACACAAAAAAUUCGGGCAUGUUUUCAGAGUACCCGUGGAUGCAGUUGCGUUAGGUCUUCUCGAUUAUCAUCAGAUUGUGAAGCAUCCCAUGGAUCUGGGUACUGUCAAAGCGAAUCUGGCGAAAAAUGUGUAUCAGACCCCUGUAGAUUUUGCUGCCGACGUGAGGUUGACCUUUAACAAUGCGUUGCUGUACAACCCUAAGACCGAUCCUGUUAACUCGAUGGCUGAGCAAAUGUUGGCACUGUUCGAGGAAAUGUUCAAGCCGGUCCAGGAGAAGUUCAAUAGCGCGUUGGACAGGCGGCGUGAGAAGGAUCCCCGCGAGUUUAAAAUCAACAAUGACUUUCCGUCCCGGGAUGUUGAGGAAUUGCAGGGGAGCUCUUGGAACAAUGGUUGUCAGGUUCUGGCUGCAAAGAAGUCGAAGCCGAAAGCUAGCCAUGUUCCUGUCUCCCACAUUAUGAAGAAGUCUGAUAGAAUGCAUGCAUCAAUGCAAGCCCAUUCUACUGCUUCUACGACCUCUAAUCCCCCACCACCGUUGAAUCCGCAGCCACCAGCACCGGAGCCCUUGCCCCCUUCACCCGUGAGAGCUCCUCCUCUGCCUGCGGCUAAGGAGCAAAAGGCUGGAAGAGUAGGGGCGCCCAAGCAGCCGAAGCCACGGGCUAAGGAUCUUAAUAAGAGAGAUAUGAGUAUGGAAGAGAAGCAAAAACUUGGAAUUGGGUUGCAGAGUUUGCCUCAGGAGAAAAUGCCUCAACUGGUUCAGAUCAUCAGGAAGAGGAAUGAGCAUUUGGCUCAGGAUGGCGAUGAAAUUGAGCUUGAUAUUGAGGCCCUUGAUACGGAGACGCUGUGGGAACUGGAUCGAUUUGUGACCAAUUGGAAGAAGACGGUGAGCAAGACUAAGCGGCAAGCGUUGAUGAUGAACAACAAUCCAGCCGCUGGAGUUUCUAUUCCCACCAGUCCUGCUACCGAUGCUGAUGUGGGCGCAAUGAGUGACAAAAAUGAUGAUUCGGGCAAGAAGAUUAAAGAAAAUGAGGAAGAAGAUGUAGAUAUUGAUGAUGAUAUGCCAGCAGCGAGCUUCCCUCCUGUUGAAAUUGAGAUUGAGAAAGAUGAAGGGGUAGGUGGUGGUGUGGUCGUGGGCCAGGAUCAUGAUCAGGAGAAUAAUGGUCGAGGCAAUGCCAGCAGUAGCUCGAGCAGUUCUGGCAGCUCAAGUAGCGAUUCGUCAUCCUCGAGUGAUUCUGAUUCAGGGAGUUCAUCUGGUAGUGAGUCGGACGCAGAUGAUGCACAGUCUUGACAACUGUUUGAGCAAAUCUGCAAAUGAAUUGAGAGCUCAGGUGGGCAUUUGGCUGCUGUGAUAAACGAGCAUAUUUGUUCAUAAGAAUGGCAAAUGAGGUGCUUUGGGGAAUUGUUUGUUGUUGUAGUUGCCGGAUCAAAGAUUAAUCAUCGCUUGGAUGCAGUAGCCAGCUUAAGCUUUAGGUGAAGAAUAGAAAUUGUUAAAAGCGUGUAGAUAGUUUGGUUAGGUUAAUUUUGUACAGCAGCUUUAGUGGGAAUUUCUCCCCAGUUAAAGAAAGCUAUUAUUUCGCU
Salvia miltiorrhiza (redroot sage) is the source of this 2484-nucleotide RNA transcript. It is a transcript of the gene named transcription factor GTE7-like, with no coding region annotated. The record is from RefSeq and is a predicted model, not a curated record. NCBI's taxonomy places the organism in Eukaryota, Viridiplantae, Streptophyta, Magnoliopsida, Lamiales, Lamiaceae. The transcript has 4 exons.